Molecule: ribosomal RNA, 505 nt
Filed under: uncultured bacterium
Lineage: Bacteria
Description: partial 16S ribosomal RNA
Rfam family: Bacterial small subunit ribosomal RNA
Source: RNAcentral
GACGAACGCUGGCGGCGUGCCUAAUACAUGCAAGUAGAACGCACAGUUUAUACCGUAGCUUGCUACACCAUAGACUGUGAGUUGCGAACGGGUUAGUAACGCGUAGGUAACCUGCCUGGUAGCGGGGGAUAACUAUUGGAAACGAUAGCUAAUACCGCAUAAUAUUAAUUAUUGCAUGAUAAUUAAUUGAACGGUGCAAUUGCAGCACUACCAGAUGGACCUGCGUUGUAUUAGCUAGUAGGUGAGGUAACGGCACACCUAGGCGACGAUACAUAGCCGACCCGAGAAGGUGAUCGGCCCCCCUUGGACUGGGACACGGCCCAGACUCCUACGGGAGGCAGCAGUAGGGGAUCUUCGGCCAUGGACGACAGUCUGACCGAGCAACGCCGCGUGAGUGAAGAAGGGUUUCGGAUCGGAAAGCUCUGUUGUAAGAGAAGAACGGGGGUGAUGGUGGAAAGUUCACACUGUGACGGUAUCUUACCAGAAAGGGACGGCUAACUACGUG